UAGCGAUCUGGUUGCCCCUUCCUCCCCUGCAUUUGAUGCCCACGAUGAAGAGAAAAGUAUGUACAUGAGCACCAGUAGUUGUAUGAAAGAACAAGGCAACCAAUGGGUUUCUUUGAAUAUCAGGUUUAAGAAUUUAUUCUGAGGAAAACAGCAGAGGUGUGGUGCCCUUUCUAUAGGGAAGGGGCUAGCGGCCUGAUUGCCAGGCUUCCUCUCUGUCUUUGGGAGGUCACUUACCUUCUGUGCCCAUCUCCAUGUCUGGAAAUGGAGAUCUUACUUAGCAUCUCACAGGAGGCUGUGAACAUUAUUUAGGAAAUAUUUGUACAGCACUUGGAAUAGUUAGAGGCUUCUGAAAGCAUAGUUUCGGCUGGUUAGCCCUGAAGGUGGUAUGCUUCAGGGUGAGUUGUCUGGUUUCGGUGUUGUAGCAAAUCCUGCUCAUUUCUUGCUAGUCCAAAUCUGUGUUUUUUGGUGCUGAGGCACAGCCAGAAGCACAGACUCCAGGGGUAGUAAGAAAAUGAAAUGCAGCUCACCUUCUCAGCCAUUGCUCCUUUUGGUUUUCUUAUGGAGAAAAGGGAGUAAACAAAUGGAUAGCGGCAGUCCCUUUAGACCCUGAAUUUGAAUGUACAUGUUACAGAAAAAACAAUGUGCUCUCUAAUUUGCUGUUACGGAUAUAAACAAGCAGUCCACAUAGCCCAUAGUACUGCACCAUCCUGUGUGCGCGUGGCAUGAUUAGGCUGGGUUUCUUCACAUACUUCUCUGUCUGGAGAGCUGCUAUUAAUACCUACUCUCUCCAGGCACUUCUGUCCCCCAGGAGAGUUCUUGGAGCCCCAAGAGCUGACUUCUCCUUUUCUUGAGCUGACUGGCUGAGUGUAGCUUACUGUACAGGUGAUGGCUUUCACUCAAGGCUGAAAUGGGCUGGGGGGAGAUAGGGGACAGGGAAUCCUCUAUCUCUGCAUCCCUUAUUUGCCUGAAGAGAGGUGCUCCUGCAGGCUGCCUGCAGUGGCAGCACCUGAUGUCUUAGCUGUACCCUGGUGUGCUUAAAUUUUUAAUUCUGUGGCAGGAGGCUUUCUUAUUCCUAUAUGCAUCAAGUCUGUGCUAGCUCUGGAGCCCGAAUAACCCAGCUGUUUCUUUUCUCUGAAUUUGAGUUGGAGGGAAUCCUGUGGCAGUUUGUUUUCCUUUUAAAUCACCUGGAAAACCAGUCCCCUUGGCUUUUUCCCUGGGCCUUCUAGAGGGGCCACGAGUCCCCUGUCCCCCUGACUCCAGGCAGCAUUCAGGGUGAUUCUGCUGUGAAACUGUCCUGAGACCCUGACAAGUGAAACUUGAGUGAGCCCUAGAGCAACUCCCUGGAGUUCUUGGAGCCCUUGUGGCAAACGCUUCCUGAGCCAUUGCCCAGUGUGUUGUCACUAGCCUUCUCCUUCUGACUGGCUGCAAGAGGGUGAUUCUGUGGAAGGAAAGGGAUCCUACUUGGAAAGCUUGGGUUGUUUUCAAGGAACAGGCUUGGUUGGAUUAUUUGCUAACUCCAGAGCCAUCCCCUUUCUCUGGGAA
Long non-coding RNA from Gavialis gangeticus (Gharial), 1542 nucleotides. RefSeq lists it as uncharacterized. NCBI's taxonomy places the organism in Eukaryota, Metazoa, Chordata, Crocodylia, Gavialidae. The record is from RefSeq and is a predicted model, not a curated record. The transcript is spliced from 2 exons.